GAUGAAGAACGCAGCGAAAUGCGAUACGUAAUGUGAAUUGCAGAAUUCAGUGAAUCAUCGAAUCUUUGAACGCACAUUGCGCCUUCUGGUAUUCCGGCGGGCACGCCUGUCCGAGCGUCAUUUCAACCCUCAAGCCCUCCUUCGGGAUGGGCCUGGUGUUGGGGCUCGGCCGCCAUCUCCGGCGGCCGUCCCCUAAAUACAGUGGCGGUCACGUCGCGACUCCUUUGCGUAGUAGAAACACCUCGCUCCGGAUAGCAACGCGGUCCACGCCGUAAAAUCCCCAAUUUUCAAUGGUUGACCUCGGAUCAGGUGGGAAUACCCGCUGAACUUAAGCAUAUCAAUAAGCGGAGGA
RNAcentral lists this unclassified non-coding RNA (352 nucleotides) under soil metagenome. Its description in RNAcentral is "partial contains 5.8S ribosomal RNA, internal transcribed spacer 2, and large subunit ribosomal RNA". The stretch from base 1 to 120 matches the Rfam family "5.8S ribosomal RNA", at positions 35 to 154 of the family's 154-position model. The record is from RNAcentral.